CCUACGGGGGGCUGCAGUGGGGAAUAUUGCACAAUGGGCGCAAGCCUGAUGCAGCCAUGCCGCGUGUGUGGAGAGGGCCUUCGGGUUGUAAAGCACUUUCAGCGGGGAGGAAGGCGGUGAGGUUAAUAACCUCAUCGAUUGACGUUACCCGCAGAAGAAGCACCGGCUAACUCCGUGCCAGCAGCCGCGGUAAUACGGAGGGUGCAAGCGUUAAUCGGAAUUACUGGGCGUAAAGCGCACGCAGGCGGUCUGUCAAGUCGGAUGUGAAAUCCCCGGGCUCAACCUGGGAACUGCAUUCGAAACUGGCAGGCUAGAGUCUUGUAGAGGGGGGUAGAAUUCCAGGUGUAGCGGUGAAAUGCGUAGAGAUCUGGAGGAAUACCGGUGGCGAAGGCGGCCCCCUGGACAAAGACUGACGCUCAGGUGCGAAAGCGUGGGGAGCAAACAGGAUUAGAUACCCCAGUAGUC
RNAcentral lists this ribosomal RNA (465 nucleotides) under uncultured Klebsiella sp. RNAcentral's name for it is "bacterial SSU rRNA". It matches the Rfam family "Bacterial small subunit ribosomal RNA", at positions 338 to 795 of the family's 1533-position model. Lineage: Bacteria; Pseudomonadati; Pseudomonadota; Gammaproteobacteria; Enterobacterales; Enterobacteriaceae. The record is from RNAcentral.